Nicotiana tabacum (common tobacco) is the source of this 965-nucleotide long non-coding RNA. RefSeq lists it as uncharacterized. NCBI's taxonomy places the organism in Eukaryota, Viridiplantae, Streptophyta, Magnoliopsida, Solanales, Solanaceae. The record is from RefSeq and is a predicted model, not a curated record.
AAAAUACACAAUAAAGACCUAGGCAACUGGACAUCUUCUUCAGCAAAAAAAGAGGAGGAGCUGAAAAGAAAUGCUAGAGGCUAGAUAAGCACUCGUCGUUUUCUGAAAAUGGGGACACACUCUAGAGAGCCCUAGAUCUAGAGGCAAUCAGUGGAAAAGAAGACCACAAAAAAAAACAACGCCAAAAAGCUGAAAAAUCAGAAAAUCAAGACUAAAAAUAGGAUCACCCGUAUAACUCCAAAAACAGACUCGCCCCUUUUGUCGUCGUCUUCUUCAACAGGACCACCCCCCGUCGUUCUUCUUAUUCAUCCUCACAUCCAGCGACCUAGUUCUCUCAUAUCCCAUUAACACACACACACACACACACACAAGAACACAUGCAAAAACAAACAAAAUCAGAGACCAAAAGGGAAGAUUUGAAAGUUGUCCGAAUUUCCAGUCCUCUACUUAAGUUUCUCUGAAAUUCAAGUGACAUUGGAGCUGUAGAAGCAUUGUUCGAUUGCUGAAUCUGCCGCUACAUGUUUUCGGGUUCAUCAUGGCUGAGAUACGAUCUAUGUCGAAGUUGUUUCGUUAAGGUUUCGGGUCCAAGCCUUUAUUGCCAAUUUUCCGACGAGGUUCGAUGUACACUUUGGUUUUGAGAUCUAUCAUUAAUAUGAUUUUGAGAAAAUUUCGGCUCUAGUGUUGAGUUUUCUCAUAUAGGUGUGGAUCUAUUUACCGGAGUUUAAGCAUGGCAGACACCUUGGGACCAUCCAGGCAGGAUCGCUCAUUCGGGAGUGGAUUAAAAGAUGAUUUUCUUUUCUUUCUUUUUUUUUUAAUAUUUUGAUUCUGUUUUUCUUUUUAUGUCGUCUCUUAACUUCUAGAUUUGUACAGUAAUGUUGAGUUUCUUUAUUAUUAUAUUUCCUAUUUUGUAUUGGAAAAAAAUAUGUCUAAUAAAUCAAAUAUCCAGAGAAAAAUUGGCGUUUUUA